Molecule: transfer RNA, 355 nt
Filed under: uncultured Microcystis sp.
Lineage: Bacteria; Bacillati; Cyanobacteriota; Cyanophyceae; Chroococcales; Microcystaceae
Description: partial 16S-23S ribosomal RNA intergenic spacer
Rfam family: tRNA (bases 133-206)
Source: RNAcentral
AAGGGAGACCUAAUUCGGGUAUAAGACGAAAAGAGAGUAGUCGAAACCAAGAAUCAAUCCCAAAAGGUCGGAACGAGGUAUGUGGCUUUCAAACUAGGUUCUGGGUUCACACAAGACCUGAAUCAGGAACAAGGGCUAUUAGCUCAGGUGGUUAGAGCGCACCCCUGAUAAGGGUGAGGUCCCUGGUUCGAGUCCAGGAUGGCCCACCUGCACAGGUGGCAAAAACAAAGAAGCGAGGAAUCAGCACCUUAUCUUAUCUAUAUAUAAGAGAGAAUGCUGGCUCUGAGUAAAGAGUCCAGAGGAACCUUGAAAACUGCAUAGAGCUAGGUGAAAAAGCCAAAAAAGAAGACCGCAA